CUGCUGCCAGGAUCCCAGGCUAGAUGAACUUCACAGCUGGAAAGCAGGAGGGGCAAACCUCUGCACCACUCCACAAGCAGAAUGGAAGAACAGCACACGCCCACUAGCUCUGCUUAGUGCCAAGUUCUCUUCCACACUGGGUACCGGAAGGAGGAGGUGGAAAAAGCCAGUCAGGACUGCUUGCUCAGCAUCAUGCAGUGAACAGGUGAUCCAUGGGGCACGUGGUCCUUUGGCCAGGAUCUCAUGUGUGACACCGUCCUGUGAGUCUCCUCAUUCCCCAUCACAUCAGCUACCAGGAGCUACCAUUCUUUUCCCCACGGUGUUCCUUGCAUCCACCCAGCCCAUUCCAUUCAGGGUCUCUUGCCUCGUGGGUACCUGGACCACCACCGCAGGGUGGAAUAAAAGGUGCUGUCUGUGAUCUGGCAGGGUUGGUCCAGUUCUGCUGCAUACCACAGUAAGAAAUUUAGACCUCCCUUUUACUUGCUUGGUUUCAAUUUUCUAGUGGCAAUGAAAAACAAAUGAACCCCUUGAUUAUCUUUAGUUUGUUUAACUGUAAAAAUCCUGUAAUAAAGUACCACUGUG
This 582-nucleotide long non-coding RNA is filed under the name Chinchilla lanigera (long-tailed chinchilla). Its description in RNAcentral is "lncRNA (ENSCLAG00000024211.1)". Lineage: Eukaryota; Metazoa; Chordata; Mammalia; Rodentia; Chinchillidae. The record is from RNAcentral.